GUUUCCAUAGCUCAAUGGUAGAGCGAAAUACUGUUAAUAUUUUAAUAAAGGUUCGAUUCCUUUUGGGGACG
This 71-nucleotide transfer RNA is filed under the name Tuber microsphaerosporum. RNAcentral's name for it is "tRNA-Asn". It matches the Rfam family "tRNA". Rfam says of the family: Transfer RNA (tRNA) molecules are approximately 80 nucleotides in length. Lineage: Eukaryota; Fungi; Ascomycota; Pezizomycetes; Pezizales; Tuberaceae. The record is from RNAcentral.